GAUGAACGCUAGCGGCAGGCUUAACACAUGCAAGUACGAGGGGUAGUGCCGAUUUAUCGGCAGAGACCGGCGCACGGGUGCGUAACGCGUAUGCAAUCUACCUUUCACAGAGGGAUAGCCCAGAGAAUUUGGAUUAAUACCUCAUAGUAUAGCAGUUUCGCAUGAAACCACUAUUAAAGUUCCAACGGUGAAAGAUGAGCAUGCGUCCCAUUAGCUAGAUGGUAAGGUAACGGCUUACCAUGGCUACGAUGGGGUAGGGGUCCCUGAGAGGGAGAUCCCCCA
This 282-nucleotide ribosomal RNA is filed under the name uncultured bacterium. Its description in RNAcentral is "partial 16S ribosomal RNA". It matches the Rfam family "Bacterial small subunit ribosomal RNA", at positions 28 to 310 of the family's 1533-position model. The record is from RNAcentral.